GGGUAGCUACGUGUGGUCGGGAUAAGUGCUGAAAGCAUCUAAGCAUGAAGCCCCCCUUGAGAUGAGAUUUCCCUUUGCUUUAAGCAAAUAAGAUCCCUCAGAGACGAUGAGGUUGAUAGGUCCGAGGUGGAAGCGUGGUGACACGUGGAGCUGACGGAUACUAAUGGAUCGAUGACUUAUCUAU
RNAcentral lists this non-coding RNA (184 nucleotides) under Halobacillus karajensis. RNAcentral describes it as "Bacterial large subunit ribosomal RNA". It matches the Rfam family "Bacterial large subunit ribosomal RNA", at positions 2743 to 2925 of the family's 2925-position model. Lineage: Bacteria; Bacillati; Bacillota; Bacilli; Caryophanales; Bacillaceae. The record is from Rfam by way of RNAcentral.